Long non-coding RNA from Canis lupus familiaris (dog), 3165 nucleotides. RefSeq lists it as uncharacterized. The record is from RefSeq and is a predicted model, not a curated record. The transcript has 2 exons. NCBI's taxonomy places the organism in Eukaryota, Metazoa, Chordata, Mammalia, Carnivora, Canidae.
GGCUGUGCGGGCGCCCGCGCCCCCCGUGGGACCGGCGCAGCGACACGGGCGCGGCUGGGAGCACUCUGCGUUUUUAUUUCACAGCGGGGCGCCCUCCCGCCCCGGGGGAGGCGAGGGCGGGAACGGGGGGCACGAGUUCCGGCCCGGGAGCCCAGGGGAGCGGAGGGGGGCCGUCCUGCGUCACUGGUCACGGUUGAACAUGUAGCGGAGGAGGUCCACCACCCGGUGACUGUAGCCGAACUCGUUGUCGUACCUGGGGAGCGGGGCGGCGGGUCAGGGCCCCCCUCCGGACCGCUCCUGGUCCGCACCCCCCCUCCCCCCGCGGACCCCAACCACCUCACCAGGAAAUGAGCUUCACGAAGCUGUUGUUGAGCGCGAUGCCGGCGUUAGCGUCGAAGAUGGACGAGUGGGUGUUGCCCACAAAGUCCGUGGACACGACCUGGGCGUCCGAAUUUCAAAGAUGAGUGUGGGCGCGGAGCAAGGACCUCCAGGAGCCCAGGCUCCGGCUCUUAGGCACCUGGCCAUCGCUUCACCUACAGUGUCUGGGAGCCCGCUGUGUCCAGGUUCUGGGGGCCCAGGAGGAAGGCACGCGGGGGCUUGGCCUGCGGCCAAAGGACGAAGAGCACAAACACCCUGAGGCUGCAGCAGUCCCGUCCCGGGAAGGCGCCUGGCCUGGCCUACCCUGACCGAUUGUUGAAAAGUGGGAGCCACUGUCUUGUUCCUGAGGCACCCAUUGAGCAGCUGCCGCUGUGCCAGGCCCCGGGGAGAUGGCUGGAGCCACGGAGCCCCCAAGUCCCUGCUUUCCUGUGGUGCACAUGCUAGCGGCGCCAACGCUGACCGUGAAAGGGAACUUCAAGUAAGAGGGUCAGAAGGAGAAUAUGUCACUGAGGACAGAAGCUGAAAUAGGGACUUGGAGCAGCUGAGGGCCGACUGCUUGGCCACCGGGAAGAAAAGCUAUUCAGACCAAAGGAGCAGCAAGUGCAAAGACCCUGAGGUGGGAAGAGCAGCCCUCCAGACCUCCCCAGCCCUGCAGCCCCUAUCUUGAUACGACGUGAGCAGCUCUUUGGCAACAGGGGAAUUCCUCCCCAGAGGGCUCUUCCCACGGUCCCCCACCUCAGCCCCUACCUCAUCCUCGGUGUAGGCAAGGAUGCCAGCGAGGGGCCCCUUGGCUGCCGCUUUGAUGGCCUCUUUGAUGGCCUCGUAUGGGGUGGGCUGGGCCAGGCGGCAGGUCAGGUCCACAACAGAUACGUCUGGGGUUGGCACCCGGAACGCCAUUCCUGUCAGCUUCCUGGAAAAUCCCACAUUAGGGGUGGGAGUCAGAACCCAGGACUUCUCCAUCCAUCCCAUGUAGUCUCUACUUUCCCCUCAAGGAUUGGGGGCCAGUCCAGUCCUCCUGGGGGCGUAUCCCAACCCUGGUUGCAGCUUUCUGCCUUCAUACCCUUUGAGGUCUGGGAUGACUUUGCCAACAGCCUUGGCAGCCCCCGUGGAGGCUGGGAUGAUGUUCUGGUGGGCGCCCCGGCCAUCUCGCCAGGCCUUCUUUGAUGGCCCGUCCACAGUCUUCUGGGUGGCAGUAUAGGAAUGAACUGUGGUCUUGGGGAAGAAGAAGGCCGAGCUGAGCCCUUCCUCCUCCUAAGCUCCCAGGCCUGAGGUGGUGACCUGGGUGGGGAAGUCCACAGACCCCGGGAGGGCCAGGUACAGGCCAGGGGCCAGCCUGUCUGGAGGUCGCACAGUAUUUUAAGAGACUUCACCACUUGGCUCCUCCCCCCGAAACCGUCUCUCUCCCUCUUAACCCCUCACGCUAAGCCAAUCCUGGGAAGAGGUGGAGUUUCCCUGCCACCCCUCCUGUCAGCCUCUGUCCCAGCUCACCAUCAGCCCUUCCACGAUCCCAAAUCGCUCAUGGAUGACCUUGGCAAGGGGCGCCAGGCAGUUGGUGGUGCAGGAUGCAUUGCUGAAACGGGCCACGUGUGCAAGGGCAGUGUGAGGUGAGUCGCAGAACAACAAGUCCUGCACCCUCACCUCUCUCGGGUUAUGCACACAGGCCUGGUCUUGUGGACGUCAGGAUGGGGAGGAGGGGGAUCACUGGGGGUGCCCUUCAGGCUGAGGGGAGGUGCUGGAGGUACAGCUGGGGACGCUCCCCAAGCAUGUUCCCUGGGAGUCCUGCUGUUCUAACCGGGAGUUUUAGGGAAACGGUGACAUGACGGCAUCAAGGCUUUGGGAAAGGAGAUGUGAAGCAGCACCGGGGGUCUACUGGGAGCGGGGGUGAAGAGGGGGAGGCUGGCAUGUCCUCUGGGUGCCACUCACACCCUUAAGAAGGGUGCUGCCCAUUACCUGACGACUUUCAUGGAGGCAGGAUCAUAGCUCUUCUCGUUUACCCCCAUGACAAACAUGGGUGCAUCCGGUGAGGGUGCGGAGAUGACCACACGCAAGGCGCCUGCCUCGAUGUGGCCCUAGAGGAGGAGCACAGGUGGCAGGGGGUGCUUUGAGGGCCGCCUCCACACCCCCUACCCCCGCCCAGGUGUCUGGGCACCUGUCCCCCACUUACUGAAGCUUCCUCUAAGGACAGGUACACGCCUGUGGACUCCACCACAAAGGGGUUCCCGACAGACUUCCAGGGAAUGUCUCGGGGCUGCUUGCUGUGGAGGGGUGGCAGCGCCUGAGCCGGGCUCUUCCAGCGCGGCCCUGCCUUACAGGCAUGGCCUUCACUGCUCGAAGGCCAACCGGAGGCCUUCUUACCCGGCCUGUACCCUCCCACUCCCACAGUAGCCCCAGCACCUCACCAGCCCUCCCGCCCCACAAGUAGAAGCUGAAACCCGCGCCCCCCGCCCCCCCGCCCCUGCCGUGGCUGUGCCAGAGGGACCUGGCCGGGGCGCAUGCACAGGUGCGUGGGAAAGUCUCGGGCCGAGGGGUCCAGCCGAGGCUGCUAACUUCUAUAUUUAGAAAGGGAACCUCCCAUUACAGGUUCGGGGGUCCCAUUUUUUUAUUUUUAAUUUUUUUGUUAUCUUAAAAGUUUAUAUUUGAAGCAUAUUAAACAUCUAACCCGAUUGCUUUUGAUUUACAGAUUCUAAACCUAUCUUUAAAUGGAAGGAAGGACUGGGUGAUGGGCACGGGGUGUUAUGCUAGAUGUUGGCAAAUUGAACUCCAAUAAAAAUAAAUAAAUAAAUAAAU